UGGUCUGGGUGGGGCCUGAGAUUUGCAUUUCUAGCAAGUUCUCAGGUGAUACUGCUGCCUCACAGGCCA
RNAcentral lists this microRNA precursor (69 nucleotides) under Chlorocebus sabaeus (green monkey). RNAcentral describes it as "miRNA (ENSCSAG00000026310.1)". The record is from RNAcentral. Lineage: Eukaryota; Metazoa; Chordata; Mammalia; Primates; Cercopithecidae.